Salmo salar (Atlantic salmon) is the source of this 54-nucleotide non-coding RNA. The record is from Rfam. Lineage: Eukaryota; Metazoa; Chordata; Actinopteri; Salmoniformes; Salmonidae.
UGCAUUCACUACUGUAAGUCGCUCUGGAUAAGAGCGUCGGCUAAAUGUGAUGAC